GUUUGAUCCUGGCUCAGAACGAACGCUGGCAGCGUGGAUUAGGCAUGCAAGUCGAACGGGAUUGACCUGAUAGCAAUAUUGGGUCAUGAGAGUGGCGAAAGGGCGAGUAAUGCAUGGGCAAUCUAUCCUUGAGUUCGGGAUAACUCAGCGAAAGUUGAGCUAAUACCGGAUGUGGUUACGGCGGGGCAUCCUGCUGUUACUAAAGAUGGGGCUCCUUCGGGACCUGUCGCUCUUGGCGGAGCCCGUGUGCCAUCAGCUUGUUGGUGAGGUAACGGCUCACCAAGGCUUACGGCUAGCUGGUCUGAGAGGACGAUCAGCCGCACUGGGACUGAGACACUGCCCACACUCCUACGGGAGGCUGCAGUCGAGGAUCAUUCGCAAUGCGCGAAAGCGUGACGAUGCGACGCUGCGUGGAGGACGACGGCCUUCGGGUUGUAAACUCCUGUCAUGGGGGAAAAAUGUAUUGGAUGUUAACAGCAUCUGGUAUUUGAUGGUACCCCAAGAGGAAGCCACGGCUAACUCUGCGCCAGCAGCCGCGGUAAUACAGAGGUGGCGAGCGUUGUUCGGAUUUACUGGGCGUAAAGGGCGCGUAGGCGGCAUUGUGUGUCGUAUGUGAAAUCCCCGGGCUCAACCCGGGAAGUGCAUGCGAAACUGCAGUGCUAGAGCAGAGGAGGGGAGAGCGGAAUUCAUGGUGUAGCGGUGAAAUGCGUUGAUAUCAUGAGGAACACCCGAGGCGAAGGCGGCUCUCUGGAAUCUUGCUGACGCUCAGGCGCGAAAGCCGGGGGAGCAAACAGGGUUAGAUACCCUGGUAGUCCCGGCCCUAAACGGCGCACAAAGGGCGUGGGGGGCUUCACCCCCUUCCGUGCCGGAGCUAACGUGUUAAGGUGUGCCGCCUGGGGAGUACCGCCCGCAAGGCUUAAACUCAAAGAAAAUUGACCGGGGGCCCGCACAAGGCGGAGGAGCCAUGUGGCUUAAAUUCGAUGCAACGCGAAGAACCUACCCCGGGUUUGACAUGUAACUGCACAUCCUGUGAAAGCAGGAUUCCUUCGAGGGUGUUACACAGGUGCUGCAUGGCUGUCGUCAGUUCGUGCCGUGAGGUGUUUGGUUAAGUCCAGCAACGAACGCAACCCCUGUGUCCAAUUGCCAGCGAGUAAUGUCGGGAACUUUGGACAGACUGCCUGUUUACGCAGGAGGAAGGUGGGGACGACGUCAAGUCAGUAUGGCCCUUACAUCCGGGGCUGCACACGUGCUACAAUGGUCGGUACAAUGGGACGCUAAGCCGUAAGGUGGCGCAAAUCCCCAGAGCCGGCCCCAGUUCAGAUUGCGGUCUGCAAUUCGACCGCAUGAAGUCGGAUUCGCUAGUAACGGCGUAUCAGCUACGACGCCGUGAAUACGUUCCCGGGCCUUGUACACACCGCCCGUCA
This 1424-nucleotide ribosomal RNA is filed under the name uncultured bacterium. Its description in RNAcentral is "16S ribosomal RNA". It matches the Rfam family "Bacterial small subunit ribosomal RNA". The record is from RNAcentral.